UUUGGUUGCUUGCUUGGCCUUUGUGCAGAGUGGGUGGCUACUAGUUGGGGUGGCUUCGGGGAUGUUUACCGUAAAGGUGCAUGAGUGGUGUUUGGUUUGUUACGUGUGGUUGGCUGCGGCGCUUGCAACAACUUCCAUGCUCUCAUACCUCUUCAGUAGUGCGACAAGGCUUGUAUCGCCUUGAGCGUCUAGUGGGUUUCCUGUGUUGCAUACCUAAUCAAUGGUAUCGGUUGGAUAGAUCAAAAUUUACAUUUCGCCUUGCGUUGCAUUUGCGGCGUGAGGUGAACCUUAAUGCGUUCUCUUUGAUCCGCCUUGUUAAAGCGCAAGCUUCGAUAUUGUGGCACAUUGAGCAUCGCUUGGUUUCUUGUAUACGGAACAUAAAGUGGGCAUGGGAUCUAAACGAUUCUUGUUUGCCCUUUGUUUUAGCGUUUCGCUUCUAUAAAACGACUAGCGAUGCGUGUUGGCUUGUCCAGCCGUGGAGCGAUGUCGAAGAGGAA
Molecule: unclassified non-coding RNA, 497 nt
Filed under: Glebionis coronaria
Lineage: Eukaryota; Viridiplantae; Streptophyta; Magnoliopsida; Asterales; Asteraceae
Description: partial external transcribed spacer
Source: RNAcentral